GGCCUAUGAUUUUCACAAAUUUGUCCGUACCAUCUGAAUCUUCUGAUGUAUUCAUCUUACAAAUCUCUCUGAGGCCU
Molecule: small nucleolar RNA, 77 nt
Organism: Cannabis sativa
Lineage: Eukaryota; Viridiplantae; Streptophyta; Magnoliopsida; Rosales; Cannabaceae
Product: small nucleolar RNA snoR117
Exons: 1
Source: RefSeq, a predicted model, not a curated record